This 25-nucleotide unclassified non-coding RNA is filed under the name Mus musculus (house mouse). Its description in RNAcentral is "oocyte_clustered_small_RNA12998". Lineage: Eukaryota; Metazoa; Chordata; Mammalia; Rodentia; Muridae. The record is from RNAcentral.
UGACAACUACACUCAGGACACGUGG